GAUGAACGCUGGCGGCGUGCCUAAUACAUGCAAGUCGAGCGAACAGACGAGGAGCUUGCUCCUCUGACGUUAGCGGCGGACGGGUGAGUAACACGUGGAUAACCUACCUAUAAGACUGGGAUAACUUCGGGAAACCGGAGCUAAUACCGGAUAACAUGUUGAACCGCAUGGUUCAACAGUGAAAGACGGUCUUGCUGUCACUUAUAGAUGGAUCCGCGCCGCAUUAGCUAGUUGGUAAGGUAACGGCUUACCAAGGCAACGAUGCGUAGCCGACCUGAGAGGGUGAUCGGCCACACUGGAACUGAGACACGGUCCAGACUCCUACGGGAGGCAGCAGUAGGGAAUCUUACGCAAUGGGCGAAAGCCUGACGGAGCAACGCCGCGUGAGUGAAGAAGGUCUUCGGAUCGUAAAACUCUGUUAUUAGGGAAGAACAAAUGUGUAAGUAACUAUGCACGUCUUGACGGUACCUAAUCAGAAAGCCACGGCUAACUACGUG
Molecule: ribosomal RNA, 497 nt
Filed under: uncultured bacterium
Lineage: Bacteria
Description: partial 16S ribosomal RNA
Rfam family: Bacterial small subunit ribosomal RNA
Source: RNAcentral